AUGAUCCAGAAAAGCAAGGAGCUGGACAAGGAAUUGCUGCCGGUGUACAAGAAGGCCCAGGACAGGUUUGAGAAGUUUCAGGCCAAUGUCCGCAAGGAUCUGAUCGAGAAGGGUACGCCGAGGUUGACGAAGACUACUACGACAACAGGGACAGAUUUUGGGAAGAGGUGGAGGAAGAGUGGAAAAAGAUUGACUUCAGCCGCUUCCGCAUCGCCAGCAGCGCUGACGGGAUCAUCCGUUAUUCUGGAGGGCGUGGGGAUUAUAAACGAUGAUGAACCUCUUGCCGUCAAACAUCAUGUCUGUCCAUGUAUACAAGCCUGUAUACAACCAAGUUAG
RNAcentral lists this ribosomal RNA (336 nucleotides) under Triticum aestivum (bread wheat). Its description in RNAcentral is "partial small subunit ribosomal RNA". Lineage: Eukaryota; Viridiplantae; Streptophyta; Magnoliopsida; Poales; Poaceae. The record is from RNAcentral.